AGUGAACGCUGGCGGUAGGCCUAACACAUGCAAGUCGAACGGCAGCACAGUAAGAGCUUGCUCUUACGGGUGGCGAGUGGCGGACGGGUGAGGAAUACAUCGGAAUCUACUUUUUCGUGGGGGAUAACGUAGGGAAACUUACGCUAAUACCGCAUACGACCUACUGGUGAAAGCAGGGGAUCUUCGGACCUUGCGCUAUUGAAUGAGCCGAUGUCGGAUUAGCUAGUUGGCGGGGUAAAGGCCCACCAAGGCGACGAUCCGUAGCUGGUCUGAGAGGAUGAUCAGCCACACUGGAACUGAGACACGGUCCAGACUCCUACGGGAGGCAGCAGUGGGGAAUAUUGGACAAUGGGCGCAAGCCUGAUCCAGCCAUACCGCGUGGGUGAAGAAGGCCUUCGGGUUGUAAAGCCCUUUUGUUGGGAAAGAAAAGCAGCAGGUUAAUACCCCGCUGUUCUGACGGUACCCAAAGAAUAAGCACCGGCUAACUUCGUG
RNAcentral lists this ribosomal RNA (492 nucleotides) under uncultured bacterium. RNAcentral's name for it is "partial 16S ribosomal RNA". It matches the Rfam family "Bacterial small subunit ribosomal RNA", at positions 29 to 507 of the family's 1533-position model. The record is from RNAcentral.